GUGGGGAAUAUUGGACAAUGGGCGAAAGCCUGAUCCAGCAAUGCCGCGUGAGUGAUGAAGGCCCUAGGGUUGUAAAGCUCUUUUACCCGGGAUGAUAAUGACAGUACCGGGAGAAUAAGCCCCGGCUAACUCCGUGCCAGCAGCCGCGGUAAUACGGAGGGGGCUAGCGUUGUUCGGAAUCACUGGGCGUAAAGCGCACGUAGGCGGCUUUGCAAGUCAGAGGUGAAAGCCCGGGGCUCAACCCCGGAAUAGCCUUUGAGACUGCAUCGCUCGAACGUCGGAGAGGUGAGUGGAAUUCCGAGUGUAGAGGUGAAAUUCGUAGAUAUUCGGAAGAACACCAGUGGCGAAGGCGGCUCACUGGACGACUGUUGACGCUGAGGUGCGAAAGCGUGGGGAGCAAACAGG
This 405-nucleotide ribosomal RNA is filed under the name uncultured Sphingomonas sp. RNAcentral's name for it is "bacterial SSU rRNA". It matches the Rfam family "Bacterial small subunit ribosomal RNA", at positions 354 to 776 of the family's 1533-position model. Lineage: Bacteria; Pseudomonadati; Pseudomonadota; Alphaproteobacteria; Sphingomonadales; Sphingomonadaceae. The record is from RNAcentral.